GCAGCGGGAGGCAACGGGGCCUCAGGCGGCACCGCCCCCGGGCCGGGCCGGGGGCACCGGGCGGGGACAGGGCUCGGUGCCCGCAGGAACGCGGCUGUUUGCGGGUCACGGGGGCCUGGGGCCGGUUACCGUGUGCGCAGAGAGGGGUGUCAGACCCAGAGCCAUUGGCAGCGCCUCAGAGCCCCCCGGGCUCAGCUGCUCCCUGCCAGCGCCAGCCCGAGCCACGGCUCCGCCGGGUCCGGGAUCACACAGCCCUCCUGCUGCUGGUGGCACCAAAUAGUUCUGGGGUCACACAACGGGACAGCAUGCCUGCUGCUGGUGGCACCAAAUAGAUUUGGGAUCACACAGCAGGACAGCAUGCCUGCUGCUGGUGGCACCAAAUAGUUCUGGGGUCACACAACGGGCCAGCCCACCUGCUGCUGGUGGCAUCACAUAAGAGGGGUCUCGGACGGUACACAGUGCGUGUCCUGUUUCUGAACUAUCUUCACAAUUAACAGAAUGGAAAAAUCCCUUUCUGCAGAUCAAACCAGUCCACUGACAUUAAUUUUUGCCUUCAAUCUGCUCAGCCAACAAAAGGAUACCGAAUCCUGUUAUUUCCUGUUUACUGUCCUGCUGGCACCUUCAAGCUUGCUGUCCCUCCUGAGCUGUGGAAGUUUCAGCAGACAACAGAAGGUGGUUCAACCAGAUUUACCCAGAGCAUCUCUCCGACCAGAACGGCUCUAGGAAAUGGAGGUGGCAGUUUCACGUUUCAAAAUGAAACCAAAAAAAGUCACCUUACCAUGUCUUACGAAAAAAGUUGUAAGUAGCUACUAUCAGAGUUCCUGAAGAUGAAUAAAGAUCCUCCCUUUUCUUAUUUCCUUAAAUACUUAGAGUAAUUCAAUUUAGUAGUUACUUCUAAUUUAUAUUAAGUGAAAACUAAACUUAACACAGAUUGAUCCUCUACAUUCUGGUUGAUGUGCUGCAAACUAUUACAGACAACCUACUAACAGCCCUCUUCUACCCCCAUUUCACCCAGGCAUAGCAAUGGUCUCAAUAUUAACAUGUAAACAACCCUGCCACUUAACCACUAUCAUCCACACUCUUCCAGAAAAACAAAUUUUAUCAGGCAAAUUCAGAUGCAGAUUGCAUUGGCUCAAGCCAGUUCUCCUUAUCAUU
Chiroxiphia lanceolata (lance-tailed manakin) is the source of this 1155-nucleotide long non-coding RNA. RefSeq lists it as uncharacterized. Lineage: Eukaryota; Metazoa; Chordata; Aves; Passeriformes; Pipridae. The transcript is spliced from 3 exons. The record is from RefSeq and is a predicted model, not a curated record.